RNAcentral lists this ribosomal RNA (386 nucleotides) under uncultured bacterium. RNAcentral describes it as "bacterial SSU rRNA". It matches the Rfam family "Bacterial small subunit ribosomal RNA", at positions 425 to 793 of the family's 1533-position model. The record is from RNAcentral.
GUAAAGCACUUUCAGUAGGGAGGAAGGUAGUGUAGUUAACACCUGCACUUAUUUGACGUUACCGUACAGAAGAAAGCACCGGCUAACUCCGUGCCAGCAGACCGCGGUAAUACGGAGGGUGCGAGCGUUAAGUCGGAAGUUACUGGGCGUAAAGCGCAUGCAGGCGGCCUGUUAAGUCAGAUGUGAAAGCCCGGGGCUUAACCUCGGAAUUGCAUUUGAAACUAGGCAGGCUAGAGUCUUGUAGAGGGGGGUAGGAAUUUCAGGUGUAGCGGUGAAAUAGCGUAGAGAUCUGAAGGAAUACCAGUGGCGAAGGCGGCCCCCUGGACAAAGACUGACGCUCAGAUGCGAAAAGCGUGGGGAGCAAACAGGAUUAGAUACCCUGGUAG